AGGGUUUGAUCCUGGCUCAGAUUGAACGCUGGCGGCAUGCCUUACACAUGCAAGUCGAACGGCAGCACGGGUGCUUGCACCUGGUGGCGAGUGGCGAACGGGUGAGUAAUACAUCGGAACGUACCUUAUCGUGGGGGAUAACGCAGCGAAAGCUGUGCUAAUACCGCAUACGCCCUGAGGGGGAAAGCGGGGGAUCGAAAGACCUCGCGCGAUUAGAGCGGCCGAUGCCUGAUUAGCUUGUUGGUGGGGUAAAAGCCCACCAAGGCGACGAUCAGUAGCUGGUCUGAGAGGACGAUCAGCCACACUGGGACUGAGACACGGCCCAGACUCCUACGGGAGGCAGCAGUGGGGAAUUUUGGACAAUGGGGGAAACCCUGAUCCAGCAAUGCCGCGUGAGUGAAGAAGGCCUUCGGGUUGUAAAGCUCUUUUGUCAGGGAAGAAACACCGGCUCUAACACAGUCCGGGAAUGACGGUACCUGAAGAAUAAGCACCGGCUAACUACGUGCCAGCAGCCGCGGUAAUACGGAAGGUCCAAGCGUUAAUCGGAAUUACUGGGCGUAAAGCGCGCGUAGGUGGUUUAUUAAGUUGGAUGUGAAAUCCCCGGGCUCAACCUGGGAACUGCAUCCAAAACUGAUUCACUAGAGUACGAUAGAGGGAGGUAGAAUUCACAGUGUAGCGGUGGAAUGCGUAGAUAUUGUGAAGAAUACCAAUGGCGAAGGCAGCCUCCUGGAUCUGUACUGACACUGAGGUGCGAAAGCGUGGGUAGCGAACAGGAUUAGAUACCCUGGUAGUCCACGCCGUAAACGAUGUCAACUAGCUGUUGGGGAACUAUGUUCUUCAGUGGCGCAGCUAACGUAGUAAGUUGACCGCCUGGGGAGUACGGCCGCAAGGCUAAAACUCAAAUGAAUUGACGGGGACCCGCACAAGCGGUGGAGCAUGUGGUUUAAUUCGAUGCAACGCGAAAAACCUUACCUAUACUUGACAUACCUGGAAUGCUUUGUAAUGAAGUAGUGCCUUCGGGAGCCAGGAUACAGGUGCUGCAUGGCUGUCGUCAGCUCGUGUCGUGAGAUGUUCCGUUAAGUCGGAUAACGAGCGCAACCCUUACCCUUAUUUGCCAGCGAUUCGGUCGGGAACUAU
RNAcentral lists this ribosomal RNA (1137 nucleotides) under uncultured bacterium. Its description in RNAcentral is "bacterial SSU rRNA". It matches the Rfam family "Bacterial small subunit ribosomal RNA", at positions 8 to 1141 of the family's 1533-position model. The record is from RNAcentral.